Molecule: transfer RNA, 66 nt
Filed under: Acanthochitona avicula
Lineage: Eukaryota; Metazoa; Mollusca; Polyplacophora; Chitonida; Acanthochitonidae
Description: tRNA-Asp
Source: RNAcentral
GAGAAGUUAGUUAAAUUUAAAUAAUAAAAGUUUGUCAAGCUUUAGUUACUGUUGUAGUACUUCUUU